This 157-nucleotide ribosomal RNA is filed under the name uncultured Tulasnellaceae. RNAcentral's name for it is "5.8S ribosomal RNA". It matches the Rfam family "5.8S ribosomal RNA". Rfam says of the family: 5.8S ribosomal RNA (5.8S rRNA) is a component of the large subunit of the eukaryotic ribosome. It is transcribed by RNA polymerase I as part of the 45S precursor that also contains 18S and 28S rRNA. The record is from RNAcentral. Lineage: Eukaryota; Fungi; Basidiomycota; Agaricomycetes; Cantharellales; Tulasnellaceae.
CAUCCAUCAGCAACGGAUCUCUUGGCAUCCCAAUCGAUGAAGAACGUAGCGAAUUGCGAUAAGUAAUGUGAAUUGCAGAAUUCAGUGAAUCAUCGAAUCUUUGAACGCACCUUGCGCCCUCUGGUAUUCCGGAGGGCAUGCCCGGUUGAGUGUCAUG